AAAAAUAAAUAAAUAAAUAAAUAGGAGAGCAAACCCUUAGAUAUUGGAUAAAAACAAGAGGUUUUAAAAGUUCAAUUUAAAAGUGGUGUGGACUAUUCUCUAAUCACAUAUCAAAACUUGAAGCUGAGAACUGAUGGCAAUGCAGUACAGAUCAUCUCAAUGUAGAAUGUUAAUGGGCCUUUGAUCAAACAUCAAGUAAUAGGGAAUCCCUGAAGUAUCACAGAUGUCCAACUUAAGAUGGAUCAAUUUAGCUUGGUACAGAUCUUUAGAGCUCCUCUCAGUAAGUAGGCGUUUCUCUUCCUCCUCAAGUCGUGGCAACCAUUUCAAUCCAAGAGCACUUCCUGCUUUUGCUGCUACCAGGAAAUGUUCUUUUGCCAUCUCUACUGGA
Molecule: unclassified non-coding RNA, 388 nt
Filed under: Hevea brasiliensis (rubber tree)
Lineage: Eukaryota; Viridiplantae; Streptophyta; Magnoliopsida; Malpighiales; Euphorbiaceae
Source: RNAcentral